This 75-nucleotide transfer RNA is filed under the name Candidatus Moranbacteria bacterium RIFCSPHIGHO2_01_FULL_55_24. RNAcentral's name for it is "tRNA-Arg". It matches the Rfam family "tRNA". Rfam says of the family: Transfer RNA (tRNA) molecules are approximately 80 nucleotides in length. Their secondary structure includes four short double-helical elements and three loops (D, anti-codon, and T loops). Further hydrogen bonds mediate the characteristic L-shaped molecular structure. tRNAs have two regions of fundamental functional importance: the anti-codon, which is responsible for specific mRNA codon recognition, and the 3' end, to which the tRNAs corresponding amino acid is attached (by aminoacyl-tRNA synthetases). tRNAs cope with the degeneracy of the genetic code in two manners: having more than one tRNA (with a specific anti-codon) for a particular amino acid; and 'wobble' base-pairing, i.e. permitting non-standard base-pairing at the 3rd anti-codon position. The record is from RNAcentral. Lineage: Bacteria; Candidatus Moraniibacteriota.
GCUCUUGUAGUUCAACGGAUAGAACGAGGGACUCCUAAGCCUUAAAUGCAGGUUCGACUCCUGCCGAGAGCACUA